GGUCCCGUGGUGAAGUCAGGAGUUCACGCCGGCCUGUCAAGCCGGAGGUCGCGGGUUCAAAUCCCGUCGGGACCGCCA
Molecule: transfer RNA, 78 nt
Filed under: Ilumatobacter coccineus YM16-304
Lineage: Bacteria; Bacillati; Actinomycetota; Acidimicrobiia; Acidimicrobiales; Ilumatobacteraceae
Also listed under: 8 other names
Description: tRNA-Asp (GTC) (tRNA-Asp-GTC-1-1)
Rfam family: tRNA
About the family: Transfer RNA (tRNA) molecules are approximately 80 nucleotides in length. Their secondary structure includes four short double-helical elements and three loops (D, anti-codon, and T loops). Further hydrogen bonds mediate the characteristic L-shaped molecular structure. tRNAs have two regions of fundamental functional importance: the anti-codon, which is responsible for specific mRNA codon recognition, and the 3' end, to which the tRNAs corresponding amino acid is attached (by aminoacyl-tRNA synthetases). tRNAs cope with the degeneracy of the genetic code in two manners: having more than one tRNA (with a specific anti-codon) for a particular amino acid; and 'wobble' base-pairing, i.e. permitting non-standard base-pairing at the 3rd anti-codon position.
Source: RNAcentral